RNAcentral lists this unclassified non-coding RNA (231 nucleotides) under fungal sp. RNAcentral's name for it is "partial internal transcribed spacer region". The stretch from base 1 to 48 matches the Rfam family "Eukaryotic small subunit ribosomal RNA", at positions 1784 to 1831 of the family's 1831-position model. The record is from RNAcentral. Lineage: Eukaryota; Fungi.
AAAAGUCGUAACAAGAUUUCCGUGGGUGAACCUGCGGAAGGAUCAUUAAUAAGUAUCCAAACUGUGUGUACUUGGACGCUUAGCGCCCUAGAGCAAUCCCUUGUCUGAAAGCGGCAAGGGAUCAAUGUUCAGGUCGCAGUCAACGAUCACGACCGGCGAUCGGGUAGCCCCUACGUCCUUCUGUACCCUCCGGGACUUACUCGGUCAUAAAGCGAACACCUGUUAGUUCUC